RNAcentral lists this ribosomal RNA (478 nucleotides) under uncultured bacterium. RNAcentral describes it as "partial 16S ribosomal RNA". It matches the Rfam family "Bacterial small subunit ribosomal RNA", at positions 28 to 523 of the family's 1533-position model. The record is from RNAcentral.
GACGAACGCUGGCGGCGUGCUUAACGCAUGCAAGUCGAACGGUAAGGCCCUUCGGGGUACACGAGUGGCGAACGGGUGAGUAACACGUGGGUGAGCUGCCCUGCACUUCGGGAUAAGCCUGGGAAACUGGGGCUAAUACCGGAUAGGACCACUGCCUGCAGGGGUGGGGAUGUGAAGCUGUUGCGGUGUGGGAUGGGCCCGCGGCCUAUCAGCUUGUUGGUGGGGUGAUGGCGUACCAAGGCGACGACGGGUAGCCGGCCUGGGAGGGUGACCGGCCACACUGGGACUGAGAUACGGCCCAGACUCCUACGGGAGGCAGCAGUGGGGAAUAUUGCACAAUGGGCGCAAGCCUGAUGCAGCGACGCCGCGUGAGGGAUGACGGCCUUCGGGUUGUAAACCUCUUUCAGCACCGACGAAGCGCAAGUGACGGUAGGUGCAGAAGAAGGACCGGCCAACUACGUGCCAGCAGCCGCGGUAA